This 259-nucleotide ribosomal RNA is filed under the name uncultured bacterium. RNAcentral's name for it is "partial 16S ribosomal RNA". It matches the Rfam family "Bacterial small subunit ribosomal RNA", at positions 1 to 252 of the family's 1533-position model. The record is from RNAcentral.
UANGUUGUUUGAUCAUGGCUCAGAGUGAACGCUGGCGGUAGGCCUAACACAUGCAAAGUCUGAACGGCAGCACAGGAGAGCUUGCUCUCUGGGUGGCGAGUGGCGGACGGGUGAGNGAAUACAUCGGAAUCUACUCUGCCGUGGGGGAUAACGUAGGGAAACUUACGCUAAUACCGCAUACGACCUACGGGUGAAAGCAUGGGUGAUCUUCGGACCUUGACGCGAUUGAAUGAGCCUGAUGUCGGAUUAAGCUAGUUUG